This 301-nucleotide ribosomal RNA is filed under the name uncultured bacterium. RNAcentral's name for it is "partial 16S ribosomal RNA". It matches the Rfam family "Bacterial small subunit ribosomal RNA", at positions 509 to 807 of the family's 1533-position model. The record is from RNAcentral.
CAGUAGCCGCGGGAAUACGGAGGGUGCAAGCGUUAAUCGGAAUUACUGGGCGUAAAGCGCACGCAGGCGGUUUGUUAAGUCAGAUGUGAAAUCCCCGAGCUUAACUUGGGAACUGCAUUUGAAACUGACAAGCUAGAGUCUUGUAGAGGGGGGUAGAAUUCCAGGUGUAGCGGUGAAAUGCGCAGAUAUCAGGAGGAACACCGGUGGCGAAGGUGGGUCUCUGGGCCGAUAUUGACGCUGAGGAGCGAAAGCGUGGGGAGCAAACAGGAUUAGAUACCCCAGUAGUCCCUGUCUCUUAUAC